Molecule: ribosomal RNA, 305 nt
Filed under: uncultured bacterium
Lineage: Bacteria
Description: bacterial SSU rRNA
Rfam family: Bacterial small subunit ribosomal RNA
Source: RNAcentral
GCCUACGGGGCGCAGCAGUAGGGAACCUUCCACAAUGGGCGAAAGCCUGAUGGAGCAACGCCGCGUGGGUGAAGAAGGUCUUCGGAUCGUAAAACCCUGUUGUUAGAGAAGAAAGUGCGUGAGAGUAACUGUUCACGUUUCGACGGUAUCUAACCAGAAAGCCACGGCUAACUACGUGCCAGCAGCCGCGGUAAUACGUAGGUGGCAAGCGUUAUCCGGAUUUAUUGGGCGUAAAGAGAACGCAGGCGGUCUUUUAAGUCUGAUGUGAAAGCCUUCGGCUUAACCGGAGUAGUGCAUUGGAAACU